GCUAUGUGCUUUCAUCUUGUUUUGAAGUCAUAUGGAAGCCUUAAACUGGAUAGAUUGUUAAUCGUAAAUGUGUUUAGUUGUUCAGAAGGAGGCUUGUUUUGUUGCUUGAGUAUGUCGUACAGGUGAUUCUUGGUUUUUAGAUCUGAAUUACUUUUGCUUUGAAUAUUGAUAGGAAAAGUUGAAAGGGAGUAUGAAACGAUACUGAAAAGGACGCUACAUAGGAUUUGUGUUUUGACAGUUGUUCCAAAGACCACCACCUCAGUGAUAAUUCAGGUUGUACAUGAUGGUGGUUCUGUAUCGUUUUUAUGUUCUUUGCACCUUGGUAAAUAUUUACAGAUGCUGUCUGAAACACAUAUAAUCCAGUAUAAACAAUGUCUGUUUGAGUAUUUAUAGAGUUUAUAGUAGUGAAAGUUUGUAAUCCCAUAAGUUGAGAGUGUGAAUAUAUUUUUGUGUAACUUCUACCGUGGCCUCCAUUCUGGCAGUUAGAAGGUAGGAAAUGUUUGUUCUAAAGAAAUAUGAUGUACAGAAAGGAAGACUAUGAAGGAUGGAAUUUACGAA
This is a long non-coding RNA of Arabidopsis lyrata subsp. lyrata, 558 nucleotides long. RefSeq lists it as uncharacterized. The record is from RefSeq and is a predicted model, not a curated record. The transcript is spliced from 2 exons. Lineage: Eukaryota; Viridiplantae; Streptophyta; Magnoliopsida; Brassicales; Brassicaceae.